Molecule: non-coding RNA, 272 nt
Organism: Cyanistes caeruleus (blue tit)
Lineage: Eukaryota; Metazoa; Chordata; Aves; Passeriformes; Paridae
Source: RefSeq, a predicted model, not a curated record
GCUUCCCUUUUCCUGUGUUUGACUGAUUGACAGCUUAUGGGCAGAACCAUCAAUUAAUUUGAGCAGCUGAGAAGGAGCAAGAAAAAUAUCACCAAGUGGAAGUCAGAGCACUGACUCCUGAUGCCCUUCAGCUGUGCUGCUAAGGAAGCUGCAUAUCUUGCCAGAAGAUUGCUGAGGUUCAAAGUCUGCAAGUCACCUUCUGAAGUGUGUCUGUGUGCGUGCACGCAUGUGAUGGGAGCAAAAGGUGUGGAAUGGGAAGAAUAAAACAAAAU